AUUGAACGCUGGCGGCAGGCCUAACACAUGCAAGUCGAGCGGAUGAAGGGAGCUUGCUCCUGGAUUCAGCGGCGGACGGGUGAGUAAUGCCUAGGAAUCUGCCUGGUUGUGGGGGAUAACGUCCGGAAACGGGCGCUAAUACCGCAUACGUCCUGAGGGAGAAAGUGGGGGAUCUUCGGACCUCACGCUAUCAGAUGAGCCUAGGUCGGAUUAGCUAGUUGGUGGGGUAAAGGCCUACCAAGGCGACGAUCCGUAACUGGUCUGAGAGGAUGAUCAGUCACACUGGAACUGAGACACGGUCCAGACUCCUACGGGAGGCAGCAGUGGGGAAUAUUGGACAAUGGGCGAAAGCCUGAUCCAGCCAUGCUGCGUGUGUGAAGAAGGUCUUCGGAUUGUAAAGCACUUUAAGUUGGGAGGAAGGGCAGUAAGUUAAUACCUUGCUGUUUUGACGUUACCAACAGAAUAAGCACCGGCUAACUUCGUG
Molecule: ribosomal RNA, 484 nt
Filed under: uncultured bacterium
Lineage: Bacteria
Description: partial 16S ribosomal RNA
Rfam family: Bacterial small subunit ribosomal RNA
Source: RNAcentral